AGUGAACGCUGGCGGUAGGCCUAACACAUGCAAGUCGAACGGCCGCACAGUAAGAGCUUGCUCUUACGGGUGGCGAGUGGCGGACGGGUGAGGAAUACAUCGGAAUCUACUUUUUCGUGGGGGAUAACGUAGGGAAACUUACGCUAAUACCGCAUACGACCUACGGGUGAAAGCAGGGGAUCUUCGGACCUUGCGCGAUUGAAUGAGCCGAUGUCGGAUUAGCUAGUUGGCGGGGUAAAGGCACACCAAGGCGACGAUCCGUAGCUGGUCUGAGAGGAUGAUCAGCCACACUGGAACUGAGACACGGUCCAGACUCCUACGGGAGGCAGCAGUGGGGAAUAUUGGACAAUGGGCGCAAGCCUGAUCCAGCCAUACCGCGUGGGUGAAGAAGGCCUUCGGGUUGUAAAGCCCUUUUGUUGGGAAAGAAAAGCAGCAGGUUAAUACCCCGCUGUUCUGACGGUACCCAAAGAAUAAGCACCGGCUAACUUCGUG
Molecule: ribosomal RNA, 492 nt
Filed under: uncultured bacterium
Lineage: Bacteria
Description: partial 16S ribosomal RNA
Rfam family: Bacterial small subunit ribosomal RNA
Source: RNAcentral